AGAUCCGGAUCCGGAGCGGCUGAAAGGCGGAAGUGGAGGCCGGAGCCUGGGACACCGCCGGCGGGGAGAGAAGCGGAUCCCGUCCGAGCCCCGGCCCCAAGUAACGCCGCCGCCCCGGAGCCGCCUUGGAGGUCCCCCUCCCCACUAAGUGCCUCUUUGCAUAGCACCAGUCCCCACCCGCACGCUCUCUGGACCACUACAGCUGGACGGGCAAUGGCGGGUCGGGGAGGCGCAGCACGACCCAAUGGACCAGCUGCUGGGAACAAGAUCUGUCAAUUUAAGCUGGUUCUGCUGGGGGAGUCUGCGGUAGGCAAAUCCAGCCUCGUCCUCCGCUUUGUCAAGGGACAGUUUCACGAGUACCAGGAGAGCACAAUUGGAGGUGAGUGGGCAUGAGGGAGUCGGGGAGGGGCCUGAAGGUUGCCAAAGAAAUGCUUUGACCUUGAGGAGAUGGGAAGCUGCCUGCCUGCAUUAGGGACUAAAUGCGUCUGUGGUGGCAGCCCCACUUCCUCACCUGGGCCCUGGAAUUGAGCCCAGCAACUGGUCUCCAUGCCAGAG
Molecule: long non-coding RNA, 555 nt
Filed under: Homo sapiens (human)
Lineage: Eukaryota; Metazoa; Chordata; Mammalia; Primates; Hominidae
Description: non-protein coding lnc-KCNH4-1:1
Source: RNAcentral